GGGGAAUAUUGCACAAUGGGCGCAAGCCUGAUGCAGCAACGCCGCGUGAGUGAUGAAGGCCUUCGGGUCGUAAAACUCUGUCCUAAGGGAAGAUAAUGACGGUACCUUAGGAGGAAGCCCCGGCUAACUACGUGCCAGCAGCCGCGGUAAUACGUAGGGGGCAAGCGUUAUCCGGAAUUACUGGGCGUAAAGGGUGCGUAGGUGGCCUGACAAGUCAGGGGUCAAAGGCAACGGCUCAACCGUUGUAAGCCCUUGAAACUGUCGGGCUUGAGUUCAGGAGAGGAAAGCGGAAUUCCUAGUGUAGCGGUGAAAUGCGUAGAUAUUAGGAGGAACACCAGUGGCGAAGGCGGCUUUCUGGACUGAUACUGACACUGAGGCACGAAAGCGUGGGGAGCAAAC
This 399-nucleotide ribosomal RNA is filed under the name uncultured bacterium. RNAcentral's name for it is "bacterial SSU rRNA". It matches the Rfam family "Bacterial small subunit ribosomal RNA", at positions 356 to 773 of the family's 1533-position model. The record is from RNAcentral.